Molecule: ribosomal RNA, 254 nt
Filed under: uncultured bacterium
Lineage: Bacteria
Description: partial 16S ribosomal RNA
Rfam family: Bacterial small subunit ribosomal RNA
Source: RNAcentral
UACGUAGGGUGCGAGCGUUAAUCGGAAUUACUGGGCGUAAAGCGUGCGCAGGCGGUCUGGUAAGACCGAUGUGAAAUCCCCGGGCUUAACCUGGGAACUGCAUUGGUGACUGGCAGGCUUUGAGUGUGGCAGAGGGAGGUAGAAUUCCACGUGUAGCAGUGAAAUGCGUAGAGAUGUGGAGGAAUACCGAUGGCGGAGGCAGCCUCCUGGGCCAACACUGACGCUCAUGCAUGAAAGCGUGGGGAGCAAACAGG